Molecule: ribosomal RNA, 57 nt
Filed under: Streptomyces sp. WM6349
Lineage: Bacteria; Bacillati; Actinomycetota; Actinomycetes; Kitasatosporales; Streptomycetaceae
Also listed under: 2 other names
Description: partial 23S ribosomal RNA
Source: RNAcentral
GCCCGGUAACGGGUGAAGCUGACUGGUACUAAUAGGCCGAGGGCUUGUCCUCAGUUG